GAGGGGAUAGCUCAUGUGGUAGAGCACCUGCUUGGCAUGCAGGAGGUCCUGGGUUCAAUCCCCAGUACCUCCU
This 73-nucleotide transfer RNA is filed under the name Camelus bactrianus (Bactrian camel). It matches the Rfam family "tRNA". Rfam says of the family: Transfer RNA (tRNA) molecules are approximately 80 nucleotides in length. Their secondary structure includes four short double-helical elements and three loops (D, anti-codon, and T loops). Lineage: Eukaryota; Metazoa; Chordata; Mammalia; Artiodactyla; Camelidae. The record is from Rfam by way of RNAcentral. RNAcentral also lists the same sequence under 1 other name.